Molecule: non-coding RNA, 187 nt
Filed under: Tissierella creatinophila
Lineage: Bacteria; Bacillati; Bacillota; Tissierellia; Tissierellales; Tissierellaceae
Also listed under: 1 other name
Description: Lysine sequence
Rfam family: Lysine riboswitch aptamer
About the family: Riboswitches are metabolite binding domains within certain messenger RNAs that serve as precision sensors for their corresponding targets. Allosteric rearrangement of mRNA structure is mediated by ligand binding, and this results in modulation of gene expression.
Source: RNAcentral
GGUUGAGGUAGAGGCGCAAAGUGUUAAAAGUAGUUAUUAUGGAAGCUGGAAACUUGUGAUAUAAUAAUGAAAGGAACCUUUGCCGAAGCUUUAAAUACCUAAAAUUUAAGGCUGGGACUAUAUUUAAUAGAUAUAGGACUGUCAUCAAUUUAUUUACUCGGUAGAUUGAUGUUGAGCUAUCUCAUUU